RNAcentral lists this long non-coding RNA (301 nucleotides) under Elaeis guineensis (African oil palm). RNAcentral's name for it is "long non-coding RNA (EGUI_LNC025073)". The record is from RNAcentral. Lineage: Eukaryota; Viridiplantae; Streptophyta; Magnoliopsida; Arecales; Arecaceae.
CGGUGGUCGGUGGUAGAGGACUACGUGGUCGGAGGAAAAGAAGAAGCGGAUGGCACGAUUGGAGGACGGCGUCGGACAUCUCGAUGGAGGGGCGGGGGGCCCAGCCGCGGUCGCCAGCGAGGUCCUUGGGGAUGGCGCCGCACAUCACGUCGUUGAAGUCGUCCGUCAGGUGGACCUGCUCCUGUAUCCGCCGCACCUCCACCCACACCUCCCGCACCAGCGAGGCGGCGGCGCCGGGGACAUACCUCGCGCUUGUGAAGGCUUCCCAAAGGGAAGCGUGGCGCUUGCGGUCGAGGAUCUC